Long non-coding RNA from Sapajus apella (tufted capuchin), 1588 nucleotides. RefSeq lists it as uncharacterized. Lineage: Eukaryota; Metazoa; Chordata; Mammalia; Primates; Cebidae. The record is from RefSeq and is a predicted model, not a curated record. The transcript is spliced from 2 exons.
CACUCCAGCCUCGGUGACAGAAGGAGACCCUUUCUCAAAAACAAAACAAAACAAACAAAAAACCCUCAUCUUUUGGAAUCAAUGCACGUUUCAGUUCUCGGAUUUUUAUUUGACUUUUAAACAAUACAUUCCAUGUUUCUGGUACAAUUCUCCAUGUUUUUCCUUUAUCCUCUUAAAAAUGUUACUACUAAUCUCUAUUGUAUAAUUUCACUAUCUGAAUUAUUGUAAGUCUCUUUUAAUUGCCUGCUCUUUUUUCUUGGUUUUUGGUUAUUUGGAUCUUCUGUUUGAUUAUGACUCACAAUGUUGGACAUUGUGGAUAAAAAUUGUAGAGGCUCUGGAAGAUGUUAUUUCCAAAGAGGGUUAAGUUUUCUGCUGGUAGGCAGAUAGCAUUAAUGCUGUUAGAUCACCUUGAGACUGUUAGGAUCUCUGGUUUUAGGCUUUUUAGGGCUAAUCUGUUUCACUUACUCCUAGGGUUUUAACUGAAAGUAUAGGAUGCUUACGAAGACCCUUUUAUUUUGACAAGACUUGAACUCUAACCUUUGUUUUCUCAACAUCUGAUAGGUUCUCUGAUGUCUGAUCUCUGCUUACUCUUUAGCCUCUUGGUUACUGUUCUCUACUGGAUUUCUUGGCAUUUCACCCAACACCUAAUUUUUAGAAGCCAUCUAUUAACUCAAGGGGAAAUCGCAUACACAUUUCUGGACUUGCUUUUCCACAGUAACCCUUUUUCUAGACCCUUACCUCUCAAGUUCCUGUUCUUUUGGCAUGCCUCAACUCCAACCUCUGUUUCCACAGUCUUGUAAGAAUGCCACUUUCUGUUUCUGUUAUUUCUUAAUGCCAUGAUUCAACAAAUGCCCUGAGGAAAAAAGUCAAGUUGAAUUUAAAACUUACCUUGGUGUACUCCUCACCUGGGAGAGGUGUCAUAGUCCUUUAAGUCCAGUGUGUAGUGGUGUUCUUUAAUGCUAGCAUUUUUUAAAAAAAUGUAUUAUGUCCUACUUUUACCCUUUUCAGACUAGAAGAAGGUAGUCUGAUCCAAGUUGUUCUGUCAUGAUCAGAACCAAUCUGACUUAAAAUUCUUCCUGUGUAACAUUUUAAAGUUCAUGUUCUUUUUAAGAUUUUCUCUAAUUUGGCUGUUUUCUUUUACAAUGCUUGGAGGAUAAACACAGUUAUAGUACAAUUAUGAGGAGUCUGGGUUUAUAAUGAGGAUCAUGAAAAUUAUUGCAUUUUCAAAAUUAUUUUCUGUAUGCUGGUAUUUACUUAAAAACGAAUGAGAGCCACAAUAACCUAAGGCUUUUUGCCAUUUCUGUGUUUACUUAACCACACUUUUGUCCGUAUCUUUCACAUUUGUACUAGAGUGUACUUACCUUCCUUGAAAUAUUGUAGUUCACAUUUGUAUAAUACUUUAGAGUUUGCAGACUGCUGCCAUAUCCAUUAUAGUCUCAUUUGUUUUUCAUAACAACCCUGAUAGUAUUAUUAUUUUACAAAUGAUAAAACUAAGGCUAAAAUGUUAAACAGACUUAGGUAGUAAAUAACAGAGUGGAAACUUGAAUAUACUACUACUUCCUAAUUCCAAAGCCUAUACAAUGCUUUU